AAGAAUUCACCCUUAUUUAUAGGAAUGAAGGUGGUGAUGACGAUGUGAGGGAGGGGUGUGGUGUUGACACGUGGGGGAUGACUAAUCUAAGUCAGAAUAUUUUGUAAAAUUAAUUUUUUUUAUUUUUUAUUUUCGUCCAUUUAUUUAAUUAAAAUUAUGAAAUUCGAAACAUGCCCAAACCAACCCUAUUUUGAACACUAAGUGGGCUCGAAAUCCUUAUCAUCUGGUCCAAUUACAGAAUUUAGCUUUUAGAUUCGAAAUAUCAUGUCAACCCGUUAAUUCUACCAACGCUUAAUAUCUAGGUUCGGCAUAGCAUCUUUGUUUAUAACCAUUAAUUGAUAAUUUAAACAAUUCGGUAAAAUUUUAGAAGUGUG
RNAcentral lists this long non-coding RNA (374 nucleotides) under Linum usitatissimum (flax). RNAcentral describes it as "long non-coding RNA (LUSI_LNC002787)". Lineage: Eukaryota; Viridiplantae; Streptophyta; Magnoliopsida; Malpighiales; Linaceae. The record is from RNAcentral.